This 168-nucleotide ribosomal RNA is filed under the name Triticum aestivum (bread wheat). Its description in RNAcentral is "partial small subunit ribosomal RNA". Lineage: Eukaryota; Viridiplantae; Streptophyta; Magnoliopsida; Poales; Poaceae. The record is from RNAcentral.
AUGAGACAAAAGAUCUUCUUUCUAAAGAGAUUCGAUUCGGAAAUCUUAUAUGUCCAAGGUCAAUAUGGAAAUUCUUUCACAGGUUUUCCCUUACUUUGUCCGUGUCAACAAACAAUUCGAAAUACCUCAACUUUUUCAGAACAGGUCGAGUCAAAUAGCAAUGAUUAG